UGCGUAGGCGGGCUGUCAAGUCUGGGGUGAAAUCCGGCAGCUUAACUGUCGAACUGCCUUAGAUACUGAUGGCCUCGAGGAAGGUAGGGGCAUGCGGAACUGUAGGUGGAGCGGUGAAAUGCGUUGAUAUCUACAGGAACUCCGGUGGCGAAAGCGGCGUGCUGGACCUUUUCUGACGCUGAGGCACGAAAGGCUAGGGAAGGCAAAACG
This 210-nucleotide ribosomal RNA is filed under the name uncultured bacterium. RNAcentral describes it as "partial 16S ribosomal RNA". It matches the Rfam family "Bacterial small subunit ribosomal RNA", at positions 568 to 775 of the family's 1533-position model. The record is from RNAcentral.